UCGAGUGGUUUUGCGCCGAAGAUGUCCGGGGCUGAAAUCUGUUACCGAAGUUGUGGGAUGACGUGUAUUUCUUCAUAAGUUUAACGAAGCAAAGGACUUAGGACAUCUAAGUUCGAAAUUCAACCUUAAUCUAAAUUAGGAAUAAAUCAAAGGAUUUCGAAUAGAUGCUUUUAAGGAUGAAAUCAAGUUAAGUUAAGCGGAUGAAGAAAUAUACGUCAUCGGUAGAGGAGCAUUGUGUAAGGGUUGAAGUUCCAUCGAAAGAGGAUAUGGACUUUACACAAGAGAGAAUGUUGGCAUGAGUAGCGAAAGGGGAGUGAGAAUCUCCCCCAUCGAAAGCCUAAGGCUUCCUGAGGAAGGCUCGUCCGCUCAGGGUAAGUCGGGACCUAAGCCGAGGCCAAAGGGCGUAGGCGAUGGACAACUGGUUGAAAUUCCAGUACCACCUUUAAGCGUUUGAGAGAAGGGGUGACACAGAAGGGUAAGCUAUCGCACUGAUGGAAUAGUGCGUCUAAGUAAGUAGGGAGGUAACCGAGGCAAAUCCCGGAUACCAAUCCUGAGAUACGAAUGGGAGCGAAAAUAAGUAGUGAAGUAGUUGAGCCCAAGCUGUCAAGAAAAGCCUCUAUCGAGCAAGAAGGUGCCCGUACCGCAAACCGACACAGGUAGGCAAGGAGAGAAUCCAAAGAUGAGCGGAAGAACUAUUGUUAAGGAACUAGGCAAAAUGACCCCGUAACUUCGGGAGAAGGGGUGCCGUGAGGUGUGAAGAUUGAACAAUCGGAGCAUCAUGCGGCCACAGAAAACAGGCCCAAGCGACUGUUUACCAAAAACACAGGUCUCUGCUAAAUCGAAAGAUGAAGUAUAGGGGCUGACACCUGCCCGGUGCUGGAAGGUUAAGGGGAGAAGUUAUCGCAAGAGAAGCUUUGAACUUAAGCCCCAGUAAACGGCGGCCGUAACUAUAACGGUCCUAAGGUAGCGAAAUUCCUUGUCGGGUAAGUUCCGACCCGCACGAAAGGUGUAACGAUUUGGGCACUGUCUCAACAAUAGAUCCGGUGAAAUUGUAGUACUCGUGAAGAUGCGAGUUACCCGCGGCAGGACGGAAAGACCCCAUGGAGCUUUACUGCAGGCUGACAUUGGAAUUCGGUAGCAAUUGUACAGAAUAGGUGGGAGACUGAGAAGCCAGUACGCCAGUAUUGGUGGAGUCGCCUUUGGGAUACCACUCUAUUGUUACUGAAUUUCUAACAUGAUACCGUAAGCCGGUAUAUGGACACUGUCAGUUGGGCAGUUUGACUGGGGCGGUCGCCUCCGAAAGAGUAACGGAGGCGCUCAAAGGUUCCCUCAGCACGGUCGGAAAUCGUGCGAAGAGUGUAAAGGCAGAAGGGAGCUUGACUGCGAGAUAGACAUAUCGAGCAGGAACGAAAGUUGGACUUAGU
This 1424-nucleotide ribosomal RNA is filed under the name bioreactor metagenome. Its description in RNAcentral is "bacterial LSU rRNA". It matches the Rfam family "Bacterial large subunit ribosomal RNA", at positions 1149 to 2416 of the family's 2925-position model. The record is from RNAcentral.